This 28-nucleotide non-coding RNA is filed under the name Rattus norvegicus (Norway rat). Lineage: Eukaryota; Metazoa; Chordata; Mammalia; Rodentia; Muridae. The record is from RNAcentral.
UGACUAUAUGCUGGCUUCGUCAAUCCCC